Molecule: ribosomal RNA, 494 nt
Filed under: uncultured bacterium
Lineage: Bacteria
Description: partial 16S ribosomal RNA
Rfam family: Bacterial small subunit ribosomal RNA
Source: RNAcentral
GACGAACGCUGGCGGCGCGCUUAACACAUGCAAGUCGAACGGAAAGGCCUGCUUUCCCUUGUGGAUUGCGGGUACUCGAGUGGCGAACGGGUGAGUAACACGUGAGUGAUCUGCCCCCAACUUGGGUAUAAGCCUGGGAAACUGGGUCUAAUUCCCGAUAGGACUGCAGGGUGGUGCCUGUGGUGGAAAACGAUUUUCUAGUGGUUGGGGAUGAGCUCGCGGCCUAUCAGCUUGUUGGUGGGGUAAUGGCCUACCAAGGCGGCGACGGGUAGCCGGCCUGGGAGGGUGGACGGGCACAUUGGGACUGAGAUACGGCCCAGACUCCUACGGGAGGCAGCAGUGGGGAAUAUUGCACAGUGGGCGGAAGCCUGAUGCAGCGACGCCGCGUGGGGGAUGACGGCCUUCGGGUGGUAAACUCCUUUCGACCGCGAGGAAGCCACCUGGUUGGAAGGGUGGUGACGGUAGUGGUAGAAGAAGCACCGGCUAACUACGUG